UACAGAGGUGGCGAGUGUUGUUCGGAUUUACUGGGCGUAAAGGGUCCGCAGGCGGCCUUGUGUGUCAGAUGUGAAAGCCCACGGCUCAACCGUGGAAAUGCAUUUGAAACUACAGGGCUAGAGUACGGGAGAGGAGAGGGGAAUUCAUGGUGUAGCGGUGAAAUGCGUAGAUAUCAUGAAGAACACCGGUGGCGAAAGCGCCUCUCUGGACCGAUACUGACGCUCAUGGACGAAAGCCAGGGGAG
RNAcentral lists this ribosomal RNA (245 nucleotides) under uncultured bacterium. RNAcentral describes it as "partial 16S ribosomal RNA". It matches the Rfam family "Bacterial small subunit ribosomal RNA", at positions 524 to 768 of the family's 1533-position model. The record is from RNAcentral.